RNAcentral lists this ribosomal RNA (440 nucleotides) under uncultured bacterium. Its description in RNAcentral is "bacterial SSU rRNA". It matches the Rfam family "Bacterial small subunit ribosomal RNA", at positions 338 to 795 of the family's 1533-position model. The record is from RNAcentral.
CCUACGGGUGGCAGCAGUGGGGAAUAUUGGACAAUGGGCGCAAGCCUGAUCCAGCCAUGCCGCGUGAGUGAUGAAGGCCUUAGGGUUGUAAAGCUCUUUUGUCCGGGACGAUAAUGACGGUACCGGAAGAAUAAGCCCCGGCUAACUUCGUGCCAGCAGCCGCGGUAAUACGAAGGGGGCUAGCGUUGCUCGGAAUCACUGGGCGUAAAGGGCGCGUAGGCGGCCAUUCAAGUCGGGGGUGAAAGCCUGUGGCUCAACCACAGAAUUGCCUUCGAUACUGUUUGGCUUGAGUAUGGUAGAGGUCGGUGGAACUGCGAGUGUAGAGGUGAAAUUCGUAGAUAUUCGCAAGAACACCAGUGGCGAAGGCGGCCGACUGGACCAUUACUGACGCUGAGGCGCGAAAGCGUGGGGAGCAAACAGGAUUAGAUACCCUCGUAGUC